GUCGACCGGCGCACGGGUGAGUAACACGUAUCCAACCUGCCCUCUUCCGGGGAACAACCUUGCGAAAGUAAGACUAAUGCCCCAUGUGUCCUCAGACGGCAUCAGACGAGGACGAAAGAUUUAUCGGAAGUGGAUGGGGAUGCGCCUGAUUAGGCAGUUGGCGGGGCAACGGCCCACCAAGCCGACGAUCAGUAGGGGUUCUGAGAGGAAGGUCCCCCACAUUGGAACUGAGACACGGUCCAAACUCCUACGGGAGGCAGCAGUGAGGAAUAUUGGUCAAUGGGCGAGAGCCUGAACCAGCCAAGUAGCGUGCAGGAUGACGGCCCUAUGGGUUGUAAACUGCUUUUGCGCGGGGAUAAAGUGCGCCACGUGUGGCGCAUUGCAGGUACCGCGCGAAUAAGGACCGGCUAAUUCCGUGCCAGCAGCCGCGGUAAUACGGAAGGUCCGGGCGUUAUCCGGAUUCAUUGGGUUUAAAGGGAGCGCAGGCCGCCCCUUAAGCGUGUUGUGAAAUGCCGCGGCUCAACCGUGGCACUGCAGCGCGAACUGGGGGGCUUGAGUGCGCGCAGCGCAGGCGGAACUCGUGGUGUAGCGGUGAAAUGCUUAGAUAUCACGAAGAACUCCGAUCGCGAAGGCAGCCUGCGGGAGCGCAACUGACGCUGAGGCUCGAAAGUGCGGGUAUCGAACAGGAUUAGAUACCCUGGUAGUCCGCACGGUAAACGAUGGAUGCCCGCCC
Molecule: ribosomal RNA, 733 nt
Filed under: uncultured bacterium
Lineage: Bacteria
Description: bacterial SSU rRNA
Rfam family: Bacterial small subunit ribosomal RNA
Source: RNAcentral